AGAGUUUGAUCAUGGCUCAGGAUGAACGCUGGCGGUAUGCCUAACACAUGCAAGUCGAACGGGCAAAAUAGGAGCUUGCUUUGUUUGCUAGUGGCGGACGGGUGAGUAACGCGUGAGUAAUCUGCCUUGAAAUGGGGGAAUAACACUUGGAAACGGGUGCUAAUACCGCGUAGUAUAUUAGUUUCGACAUGAAACUUUUUAUUAUAGUUUUUCGUUUCAAGAUGAGCUCGCGUCCGAUUAGUUUGUUGGUGAGGUAAAUGCUCACCAAGACUGCGAUCGGUAGCCGGGUUGAGAGACUGAACGGCCACAUUGGAACUGAGACACGGUCCAGACUCCUACGGGAGGCAGCAGUGGGGAAUAUUGCACAAUGGGGGGAAAAACCCUUGAUGCAGCAAUACCGCGUGAGGGAUGAAGGCUUUCGGGUUGUAAACCUCUGUCUGAAGGGACGAAUUUUGACGGUACCUUCGAAGGAAGCUCCGGCUAACUACGUGCCAGCCGCCGC
RNAcentral lists this ribosomal RNA (502 nucleotides) under uncultured bacterium. RNAcentral describes it as "bacterial SSU rRNA". It matches the Rfam family "Bacterial small subunit ribosomal RNA", at positions 8 to 518 of the family's 1533-position model. The record is from RNAcentral.